GGCAUGCUGGAGGUAUCAGAAGUGCGAAUGCUGACAUAAGUAACGAUAAAGCGGGUGAAAAGCCCGCUCGCCGGAAGACCAAGGGUUCCUGUCCAACGUUAAUCGGGGCAGGGUGAGUCGACCCCUAAGGCGAGGCCGAAAGGCGUAGUCGAUGGGAAACAGGUUAAUAUUCCUGUACUUGGUGUUACUGCGAAGGGGGGACGGAGAAGGCUAUGUUAGCCGGGCGACGGUUGUCCCGGUUUAAGCAUGUAGGCUGGUUGUCCAGGCAAAUCCGGAUAAUCAAGGCUGAGGUGUGAUGACGAGGCACUACGGUGCUGAAGUAACAAAUGCCCUGCUUCCAGGAAAAGCCUCUAAGCAUCAGGUAACAUCAAAUCGUACCCCAAACCGACACAGGUGGUCAGGUAGAGAAUACCAAGGCGCUUGAGAGAACUCGGGUGAAGGAACUAGGCAAAAUGGUGCCGUAACUUCGGGAGAAGGCACGCUGGUGUGUAGGUGAAGUCCCUGCGGAUGGAGCUGAGACCAGUCGAAGAUACCAGCUGGCUGCAACUGUUUAUUAAAAACACAGCACUGUGCAAACACGAAAGUGGACGUAUACGGUGUGACGCCUGCCCGGUGCCGGAAGGUUAAUUGAUGGGGUUAUCCG
Molecule: ribosomal RNA, 643 nt
Filed under: Pasteurella multocida
Lineage: Bacteria; Pseudomonadati; Pseudomonadota; Gammaproteobacteria; Pasteurellales; Pasteurellaceae
Description: partial 23S ribosomal RNA
Rfam family: Bacterial large subunit ribosomal RNA
Source: RNAcentral